GUCAAGAUUGUUGCACAGUGACUUAUUCACUGCUUGUGAUCCAGAAGCACUCAACAUAACCCAACUGUCAUCCAGAGUAACAGUCAUUGCUGAAUUGGUGCCCUUUCCGGUGAUGAAAAUGUCUAGCACCAGCAUGAUAACAUCAUGGCAGACUGUACUCUUUCUGAAUGCAGGUAGAACAAGAUCUGCUUUUAAAAGGCAUUAAGGUAUUUUUGGUGCAUUUUCUCCUGAGUCUAACUGGUAAGAUGCAUUAUUACACAGUUACAUACUGUCAAAGAUAAUGUAUGUAUGUGUAUCGGUAUGUGAUGUAUACAGGAAAGGUUUUUUGAUUCUUAGAUGUUGUAUGUUGAAUUGACAAAAUCCAGUCAAGUUUAGUUGAAUUAUUUGUGAGUAUAGUGCAUAUUUUUCUCAUCUUUUGUUUUGGUUGUGUUUCAGCUGUGCAGUGUGAAUGGAGUGUGACCUACUCCUCUACACAUGUCUGUGGUCUUAAAGGAGCAUCAGUGGUCCUGCCCUGCACAUACCAGUAUUCUUAUGGAGACACGUAUCUGGGAGGAGAGUGGUAUGAAGAGAAGAGUGGUAGAGUCAUAAAACACAGUCACUCUAAUUAUCCUGACUGCAGUCUGAACAUAGACACACUUUCAGAUGGAGACUCUGGUGUUGAUCAGUUUCGGUUUUAUACAGUCUUACACUUGAAAUGGAUGACAAGCAAACCUGGUAUUACAUUGUCUGUUACAGAUCUGACAGUAGAGGAAGCGGCUGCACACAAACAGCAUCAGACUGAAGUGACCUGCAGCACCUCCGUUGGGCUCUGAACUUCAGUAUGUCUGGUACAAGACUGGACAGAUUCUACAAGACAGAACCACUGACAGCCUCCAUACUAGUCUAUGAAGUGGCCAGAUACUCCUGUGCAGUGAGAGGUCAUGAAGCUCUACGCUCCCCAGCAGUGUGUGAGUAUACAGAUCACCUCCAGUGAUUUACAUUUGUACUUCUUUUCAGUUCUUAUCAGAGAGCAGGAAUGACAUUCAAAUAUUUUAAUCCACAAUGUAAUUUGUUUGACAGUUGAGAUCCAUCACUGGACCUUUAACAAACAAUAAUAUGUGCAUUCAGCCUGUAGCUUUUCUCGUUUAUGUGGGUUUUGGUGCUGUGUGUGAUUAUAGGUGUUCCAGAUAAAGAGUGCUGGGGUGUGACCUACUCUGAUGAGAAUAUCUGUGUAUUAAUGGGCUCAUCAGUGGACAUUCCAUGCACUUACUUUUAUCUAAGAGCUGACCACAUCAGCAACAUGUUUUGGUUUCACAGCCAAAAAUCUAUAAAGUAUGGGUUUCUUGGUAAGAAAGAAAAUAGUUGUACCCUGAGACUGAAAGACAUCAGAGAGAGUCACUGGAGAAUAUACCUUCAGGUUAACAACAACAGGGGGGCAGGGUUUCUCUGGAGUACCUGGAGUCACCAUCUCUGUUACAGAUCUGCAGGUGUGGGCACCUCUUGAUACAGUGAAAGAGGGGGACAAAGUCACCCAUACCUGUAAUACUACCUGUACUCUGAGUAACGACCCCACCUUCAUCUGGUACAAGAAUGGACAGCCUGUGACCUAUAAACACACAACCAGAGACAACAAGCUGCAUCUAAACCCAGCCAGCAGUGAGGAUGCAGGCAAUUACUCCUGUGCAUCGGCUACAGUAUUUGAUUUGUAAUGAUUAUUAAUCACUCAUGUUCACAGAAGUAAAAGAAGUAAAGAAACCAAUGUGCAGAGUGUGGGGACUGUGAGUGACACGCACAUGCCUCUCCAGAGAAGAACUCAGUCCUCAGUGUAUGAGACUCUACAGGGAAGAGAGACGCCCCAAACAGAGAUGGAGAUGAAGGAUCUUUCAUAGACUGUCUUUCAACAGUUUUGGUUUUGGGCAAUUCCACGGAAAAUUGACUUUUUGUCACAUCCA
Alosa alosa (allis shad) is the source of this 1931-nucleotide long non-coding RNA. RefSeq lists it as uncharacterized. The transcript is spliced from 5 exons. The record is from RefSeq and is a predicted model, not a curated record. Lineage: Eukaryota; Metazoa; Chordata; Actinopteri; Clupeiformes; Clupeidae.